Molecule: ribosomal RNA, 440 nt
Filed under: uncultured bacterium
Lineage: Bacteria
Description: partial 16S ribosomal RNA
Rfam family: Bacterial small subunit ribosomal RNA
Source: RNAcentral
CCUACGGGUGGCAGCAGUGGGGGAUAUUGCACAAUGGGGGGAACCCUGAUGCAGCGACGCCGCGUGGGUGAAGAAGCGCCUCGGCGCGUAAAGCCCUGUCAGCAGGGAAGAAAAUGACGGUACCUGAAGAAGAAGCCCCGGCUAACUACGUGCCAGCAGCCGCGGUAAUACGUAGGGGGCAAGCGUUAUCCGGAUUUACUGGGUGUAAAGGGAGCGUAGACGGCAGUGCAAGUCCGGAGUGAAAGCCCGGGGUUCAACCCUGGGACUGCUCUGGAAACUGUAAAGCUGGAGUGCGGGAGGGGCAGGCGGAAUUCCUGGUGUAGCGGUGAAAUGCGUAGAUAUCAGGAGGAACACCGGCGGCGAAGGCGGCCUGCUGGACCGUAACUGACGUUGAGGCUCGAAAGCGUGGGGAGCAAACAGGAUUAGAUACCCUUGUAGUC